Molecule: unclassified non-coding RNA, 190 nt
Filed under: soil metagenome
Description: partial internal transcribed spacer 1
Source: RNAcentral
CACAAUAAAAUAUGAAGGCUGUACGCGGCUGUGCUCAUCGGGCCAGUUUUGCGGAGGCUGAAUUAUUUAUUACCCUUGUCUUUUGCGCACUUGUUGUUUCCUGGGCGGGUUCGCCCGCCACCAGGACCACAUCAUAAACCUUUUUUACGCAGUUGCAAUCAGCGUCAGUAUAACAAAUGUAAAUCAUUUA